GAGCUUCACUGCGGCUUGGCUUGGAUUAAUGAAUCUGGGGCUGUUUCUUACAAAAGCACCAUUGGCAGCCAAAAAAGCAUUAAUUUGGAAAGGGAAGGAAGGCCAUACUGAGGAGCAGCUGAGAGCCAAGGACCCAGAAGCAGAGCUCUGGAGUUCAUGCUGGGCUUGCCUUUAAGUAGCUUUGCUGAAGCUGGCACUACAAGCUGAGCAAUGGAGACCAGAAUGCCUGGAGCCCUUGGGGAAGGUCUCACCCAAGCUCAGAGCAAGCACUGCUAAGGAGGAGGGCAACAUGAAAAGACGGGAGGAAACCAGUGCUAAAGGAAAGCAAUGCAUGUUCCUAUCUCACACAGCUCUGCAGAGUAAAGAAAACCCUUGCCUUCCUGGGUUGUCACCGAGAAUGGGAACAUCAAUGGAGUCCCAGGGGUUUCCUCCCAGCUCCACUUUAGAGAACCUUAGCAAGCAGAGGUCCAGGCUAAUGUGUCUCCCAAGGAUUUUGGCUUCAGACACCAUCGAUGUGAACUCUCCGGUGUGUGAAUUACCUGAGCGCUGGAUGGCUGCCUCAUGGGAAUGAUGGUUGCAUCAAGCAUUCUAGCUUCACCUUCAGUACUGCCACAAGACAGUCUGUCAACAAAGGCUGUUUACCUCAUAUUGGAUAAGCAGUGUUUGAGAAAAAUAAACUCUGCAUGGACAAAAUGCUUUGAGCUUCUUGUAUGGACUCUGCCUUCUCUGAAGACCAGAGCUCUCUCAUGAGUUCGUGAAAUUUGAGCCUCGGAGAUUCAUCUGUCUAAUUAGUUCCUGUCUCUAUAUUUGAUUCCCAGCUGCCAGUUUCACAAUCUUAACACUUAAAAGACUUGGAAAACCCAGGAGAUAUGUUCAGUCUGUCAAAGACACCCUAAAAUCAAAACAAACAAACAAACAAACAAACAAAAAAGAGCCAUUAACUCCCAUCUUUAAAUUUUGUACCAACCAGUCUAUCUCCUUGUCUUACCCAGGCCUCCCAACAAGAAAGAUUCAAACUAUGAAGCCCAUUUUCCCACAAGCAAAGAUGUUCACGGGCUUCUAGAAGAGGAAGAAAGGUCAAAGGUCAUUUAGUCUCAUCCAUCCAGUUUGAAUAGAUUCAAGGAUCUGGGUAGAUGGCCUGGGAGCCCCAUAGCACAGGGGAGAGAUUUGACACAGCAAAAGACUGUUUGAACUUUCAGAUUCCAGACACCCUCCACCAGCAAGCCCCAUAAAAUGGGUGACAUCAAAGGACAAUGGGGAUGGAGGAAUCUACGUCUGCCAUUACUUCUUCUUUGGAUCCUCUUGACUAAGUCAACAUUCCUCAGACUUUGUUUGACGACCAAGAAUUGUUGGGUUGGAUGUUUUGUAGAAUAGCUCUCAAUGGAAGCUUCAUUGUUCUUGUCUUUUUUUCAUAAUUAGACUGAGGCUAUGGAUUUGGGGUGGAGGAGGUGGUGGAGGUAUAUUGUCCUCCCUGUUGCACACACCCGGAGGUCCAGGCUAUGGUGGACCAAGCUAACUGUGGGAGUUAGCUUUGAGCCCCUCUGUAAAGCAGUUCCCACAUUUAUUCCUCUGCUCUAGCCCUUGAAGCAAGCUCCUAGCCAUGCUCAGAAGGGGUUUUCUCUACAUGUCUGUGUGUACACAUUUGUAUGGGAGAGUGCAUACAUAUGUGUGCCUAUGUACAUGUGGAGACCAGAAGACAGCCUUGGAUAUUACACCUCAGGAGCUGCCUUUUUUUUUUAAAUUGAGACAGAAUAAUCUUAUAGAGACCUGGGGCUCUGUGAAUCUGAAUCAGUUAAACUGUCUGGUCAGAUAACACCACACUGGCCUUGAACUUGUGAUCCUUCUGUCUCUGCCUCCCUCAGUAAUUCCUAAGGACAUGCACCACCAUAGCCAGCUAGAAAGCCCCAGAGACAGUCCUAUCUCCGCCUCCCCGGUGCUGCGAUUACAAGCAUCUGACACCACUGAGCUGUUUUAUGUUGACUCUGGGGCUCGAACAGAUCCUCCUGGAUGCAUGGCAGGCCCUUUACUAGCUGAAGUAUCUCCUCUGCCAGGUCAUCAAUCUGUACAUAGUGAACUGGCAGGACACAUGGGAUUGCCUAACCCCAUGCUAAGGCUGUGGCUGCCACCAGAUCUUUCCUUUCAGGAGAUCAACUCAAGAGGGGAUUCGCCCAUUAUCAGAAGCUUCUGAGCUACCAUUCUGUAAUUUAAUCAAACCUUCUGCAUCAAAAAGCACCCUUGACAGCAAGAAGUACCCACUCUCUAGUAGGAGCACUCUCCUCUCUUUUCAGUGGCUUUGCACUGGCUCUUGUUUUGAGCUGAGUCCUGACAAGGAGCGUGUGGCUUGUGAAAUAGCAUUUUUUUUGGGGGGGUGGAGGCGAACAGAAGGAUGUAUGCCACACAAGCUUGUGGUGGCAUGUGUGCUUCCUUGUUCCUCUGAACUUUCUACUGGGAAGCAAAGCUUCCAUCUAGUCCUGUGUUGCCCUGGUCCCUGCAUCGUGGGCUUGGGAAAUCCAGCCUGUAUCCUGGAUCCUGGCAACAGCUUCUUGCCCAUAGGAGACGAAACACAAGACGCCAUUAGGGCAGCCCUCUGAGCACCCUUAACCCGAAAUGAAUCCGGGAAGGCACUUGAGAUGCUGAGGUAGUGUGACAUGGACCCUGGCACACAGACUACUGCCUCCCAUAACUAUGGCUCUAGGAAUAGACUAUUGGGCACAUUAUAAUAUUCAUAAAUGCCUUGAAAUUGCUUUGAGAGAGAGAGAGAGAGAGAGAGA
Long non-coding RNA from Mus musculus (house mouse), 2771 nucleotides. RefSeq annotates it as predicted gene, 34080. NCBI's taxonomy places the organism in Eukaryota, Metazoa, Chordata, Mammalia, Rodentia, Muridae. The transcript has 4 exons. The record is from RefSeq and is a predicted model, not a curated record.